GACCUGAUGGCACAGUUGGUUAGUGCGUCUGCUCAAAGUUGUUGAGUCUCCGUAUUUCCGCAGAAGGCCCCGGUUCGAUUCCGGGUUAGGUCU
This is a non-coding RNA of Mycena leptocephala, 93 nucleotides long. The record is from the annotation of a GenBank genome assembly. Lineage: Eukaryota; Fungi; Basidiomycota; Agaricomycetes; Agaricales; Mycenaceae.